GCAGUCGACGGAAGGCCCGCUUGCGGGUACUCGAGUGGCGAACGGGUGAGUAACACGUGGGUAACCUGCCCCCAUCUCUGGGAUAACCGUUGGAAACGGCGGCUAAUACCGGAUACGACCACCUUCCGCAUGGUUGGUGGUGGAAAGUUUUUGCGGUUGGGGAGGGGCCCGCGGCCUAUCAGCUUGUUGGUGCGGUAGUGGCGCACCAAGGCUUUGACGGGUAGCCGGCCUGAGAGGGCGGUCGGUCACAUUGGGACUGAGAUACGGCCCAGACUCCUACGGGAGGCAGCAGUGGGGAAUUUUGCACAAUGGGCGCAAGCCUGAUGCAGCGACGCCGCGUGAGGGAUGACGGCUUUCGGGUUGUAAACCUCUUUUAUCCACCACGAAGGCCAGGUAUUCGCCUGGUUGACGGUAGUGGUUGAAUAAGCGCCGGCUAACUACGUGCCAGCAGCCGCGGUAAGACGUAGGGCGCGAGCGUUGUCCGGAUUUAUUGGGCGUAAAGGGCUCGUAGGCGGUUGAUUGCGUCCGCCGUGAAAGGCCUCGGCUUAACCGGGGUUUUGCGGUGGAUACGGGUCGACUUGAGGCAAUUAGGGGAGAUCGGAAUUCUACGUGUAGCGGUGAAAUGCGCAGAUAUGUGGAGGAACACCGGUGGCGAAGGCGGAUCUCUGGGAUUGUUCUGACGCUGAGGAGCGAAAGCGUGGGGAGCGAACAGGAUUAGAUACCCUGGUAGUCCAUGCUGUAACGGUGGGCGCUAGGUGUGGGGUCACGUUGGUUGAUUCUGUGCCGUAGCUAACGCAUUAGCGCCCGCCUGGGGGAGUACGGCGCAGGCUAAACUCAAGGAAUUGACGGGGCCGCACAGCGGCGGAGCAUGCGAUAUCGAUGCACGCGA
This 889-nucleotide ribosomal RNA is filed under the name Glycomyces lechevalierae. Its description in RNAcentral is "bacterial SSU rRNA". It matches the Rfam family "Bacterial small subunit ribosomal RNA", at positions 57 to 964 of the family's 1533-position model. Lineage: Bacteria; Bacillati; Actinomycetota; Actinomycetes; Glycomycetales; Glycomycetaceae. The record is from RNAcentral.